This 496-nucleotide ribosomal RNA is filed under the name uncultured bacterium. RNAcentral describes it as "partial 16S ribosomal RNA". It matches the Rfam family "Bacterial small subunit ribosomal RNA", at positions 28 to 506 of the family's 1533-position model. The record is from RNAcentral.
GAUGAACGCUGGCGGCGUGCCUAAUACAUGCAAGUCGAGCGAACAGAUGAGGAGCUUGCUCCUCUGACGUUAGCGGCGGACGGGUGAGUAACACGUGGAUAACCUACCUAUAAGACUGGGAUAACUUCGGGAAACCGGAGCUAAUACCGGAUAAUAUAUUGAACCGCAUGGUUCAAUAGUGAAAGACGGUUUUGCUGUCACUUAUAGAUGGAUCCGCGCCGCAUUAGCUAGUUGGUAAGGUAACGGCUUACCAAGGCAACGAUGCGUAGCCGACCUGAGAGGGUGAUCGGCCACACUGGAACUGAGACACGGUCCAGACUCCUACGGGAGGCAGCAGUAGGGAAUCUUCCGCAAGGGGCGAAAGCCUGACGGAGCAACGCCGCGUGAGUGAUGAAGGUCUUCGGAUCGUAAAACUCUGUUAUUAGGGAAGAACAAAUGUGUAAGUAACUAUGCACGUCUUGACGGUACCUAAUCAGAAAGCCACGGCAAACUACGU